Long non-coding RNA from Lutra lutra (Eurasian river otter), 1201 nucleotides. RefSeq lists it as uncharacterized. The record is from RefSeq and is a predicted model, not a curated record. The transcript is spliced from 3 exons. Lineage: Eukaryota; Metazoa; Chordata; Mammalia; Carnivora; Mustelidae.
GCGCAGAGGAGUUGCAGGUGCCGCCGCCCACACAAUUCAUCCCAAACUCAGGAAGCAACAGCGCUGGGCACCGGGGACCCGAGCCAGAGAGUUGGAGCAAGUGGUGCUAGGCCCCAGCUUCGCUUCUUCGGAAAUGAGUUACUAGAUAGACUCAUAUCUUAGGGAAUUCCAGUGGAAAAAUUCUCUCAGUCUCAGGAUGGCCUUCAGUGAGAUGGACAGAAGUUGCACCACAAGCCUCUUAAAAGCUCAGCUGGAAAGGUUUAAAAAUGCACCGUGAACCUUCCUGUGAACAAGUCCCCAAAGGCCGUUUCACUUCAGAGGAUGUCCUCUCUGAUGGAGCUUCUCUAUAGAGCUAAAGCACAACCAGCCCAAAGGAAAGAGGAGAGCCACCACCCCCAAACUUGGCCUCAGUCUCUAAAUUGGUAAAAUGAGCAGUCGAUGCAGGUCUUGUAGGUUUGAGGCUGGAAAGUUGUGCCUGGAACCUGAAUGACAGGAUGGCUAUCCUGUCCAGAGGGGCUCUCUAUAGCCUCUGGGCAGGUCUUCAUAGAGAAUGGUUCUGAGGUUCUGUGAAAUAUGCACGAGGUCCGGUUAUUAAAUUCUGAGCAGAUGCAACUCGUCCCUUGGACCUUCGUGCCUCUGUAGAACCAAGUGCGUUGGUCAACAUCAGGCCCCUUGGGCCUAUGUGAUGAGCCAUUUUUAUUGUGGAACCUCUGGCAGAGGGGCUGUAUCUCUUCACUUCUCUAUCCUCAGGGUCUCCCUCAGACCCACACUUGAAACAGGGGAGAUGGGAGAAGCACAAGGAAAGCUACUCUUGAAGCAAACUGGAGGAUUUUGGCUGAAAGUGGAAUACGCUUGGUCUACUGAGCCUCUAAAGUGAGCAACACCUGAGAUAUGGACAGGAAAAUCUUGGUUUUAGCUUUCUGCCUCCUGGCCUUAAUUUCUUCACAACGAGAAGUGGGAAUAAUAAUCUGUACCUGGCUGGUAUGAGCGAUGAAUAUGAGUGAUCAAGGUGAAUUGCAUCAGUCUGGAAAGCAGUCAAAAGCACAAGUUCUGGGUGCGACUCCAUCUCCACUGGCCCUAUCUUCCUGGACAAAUUACUUAACCUCUCUGUGCCUCAACCUCUCCCUCUGCAUUAAGCUUACCCCAGUGUUCCCUAGAAAGAUUCGCCUCACUGAUUUUGAGGCUUGCAAAUAAAAGAAAA